This 253-nucleotide ribosomal RNA is filed under the name uncultured bacterium. RNAcentral's name for it is "partial 16S ribosomal RNA". It matches the Rfam family "Bacterial small subunit ribosomal RNA", at positions 524 to 776 of the family's 1533-position model. The record is from RNAcentral.
UACGAAGGGAGCAAGCGUUGUCCGGAUUUAUUGGGCGUAAAGAGCGUGUAGGCGGCCAGACAGGUCCGUUGUGAAAACUGGAGGCUUAACCUCCAGACGUCGAUGGAAACCGUCUGGCUAGAGUCCGGAAGAGGAGAGUGGAAUUCCUGGUGUAGCGGUGAAAUGCGCAGAUAUCAGGAAGAACACCAAUGGCGAAGGCAGCUCUCUGGGACGGUACUGACGCUGAGACGCGAAAGCGUGGGGAGCGAACAGG